Panicum hallii is the source of this 2086-nucleotide RNA transcript. RefSeq lists it as uncharacterized. The transcript has 4 exons. NCBI's taxonomy places the organism in Eukaryota, Viridiplantae, Streptophyta, Magnoliopsida, Poales, Poaceae. The record is from RefSeq and is a predicted model, not a curated record.
GCCCCUCCCCGCUUCCGACCCAGUCUCCCCUCCUCGCGCGCAGGUCGCAUGUCCUCUCUGCCGCCGCCGCCGCCGCCCGCACUCCCCCUCUCGCGCGGGUCGCGGCUCAUGUCCGCCUCUCCCUGUUGCCGCCCCCCUUGCUUUCCCCCGCAUCGCUGGUAGCAUGUCGUCUCCGCCGCCACCGCCACCGCCUUUCCUUUCGCUCUCGUUUGGCUCUCCGAUCCCCGCCGCCGCGCCCCUCCCUCCCCUCGGCCGUGCUGCUGGCCCUUCCACGCCGCCCAGCUCCCUGUCGAUCGAAGCAGAUGAUCAUUGCGACGUUGAUGGGUCCUUAGAAUUCUUCCCCCAAUCCACACCAUGGUGUGCCACCUCGCCCGAGGGCACCCUGGGAUGCGCCGUGCUUCCUCACCACAGGCAAAGGUCCAUCACCAGCUUAGACCUCAACUCGCAGGCGGGUGAAUUCCCCUACUUAGCGGAGUACCAGAAUAUUCUUGAAUCACCAGAGUUGGAUGCUGAGUUUGCCGGUGGGAAUCGGAGCUCUGACAGUAGCCGUGGUGGAGAUACAGCUGGUAAUGGCCGUAAUGGCCAUGUGGCGCUGCUAGGUGGUCCGGUGGAGAUGCAGCGGGGAAGUCCGUGGCGCCGUUCCAUGCGCCUCACACAGCUGGAGUGCAUACCAGAGGGGCUCGUGGAGGUUCCACAUCCGCCUCGAGGAGUAUUCGAACUCCUCGAGCUGCUGCCGGUGCUAAAGGGAGUGGAGGCCCUCGGGAGCAAACCAAUGCAGAGGAUGACGAUGAAGCUUCUGGGACUGAUAUGAUGGGUGAUGACUUUGAUAAGGCAAACUGGACUUCAGACAAUACUUUUGUUUUCUGUGACCUAUGGAUUGAUGAAAUGAUGGGAAUUGCAACAAAGGAAUCAUGACCAGCAGAGGGUACAAGAAUUUACUUAUGAGGUACCAUUCAAGCACUGGCCUUCAACAUCGUAGAAAACAAUUGAGAAACAGAUGGGAUCAGCUGAAAGGUUUAUACCAGUUUUGGAAGUAUAUCAACUUAAGGUCUGGAUUCGGACGUAGCUACAACAGUGUUGUAGCUGAUGACCAAUUUUGGAAAGAUCAUACCAAGAACAAAUCUAAAUGGAAGAAAUUACGGCAUGGUCCUCCAGAAAACUUGGAUCAACUUGAACAGAUUUUUCAGCAUGUGGCUGUUGAUGGUUCAUCCUCUAGCAUUCUGGGCGAAAACAUCGGAGGUGAAGAUGAGUACGACGAAGAUGAUGGGAGCCCCAUAAGUGACAAUACCAGGAAGAGGGCUACUAGUACCACUGCCACUAGUCCAACAAAGAAGACAAAAAGCCCAAUGGUGAAGAUUAUGAAGGGAUUACUGGAUAGUAUGAAAGCUUAUUCAGAUGCUACACAAAAGACUUUGCAGAACAUGGCUACAAGAAAGGAGGAGCUUAUGGAUGAAUCCAUGAAGAAAGCACAAGCAUUAAUUGGCCGUGCAGUGUGGUGCAACAGAAGAUAGUAUAGAGUAUUUCAUGGCUGUGCAAUUGUUCACCAAGGUAGAAAAUCGCCAGAUUUUCUUUAACAUAAGCACAGAUGAAGGAAGGUUUUUAUUCUUGCAGAGGUGGUGCCAUCAAAAGAACAUGUACUAGGCUGAGAACUGUGUUUGAACUGGUUUGUUUAUGUCAUUGUGAACUGCAGCAAGGCUGAGAACCAUGUUUAAACCGUGUUUAAGUGCAGCAUGUCGUUGUGAACUACAUGUUAUAUUGUUGUGUCUUGAACUCAUAUGCAACAUGUUAUAUUAUUGUGUCUUGAACUACAUUUUAUAUUAUUGUGCCUUGAACUCACAUGAGUGUGUUGGCUGACAUGACAUUUUAUGUGUAGAUGGAAUCUUCUUCUAGUGAUGAUGAGGAGCAAAAUAUUGAGCUUGUAUUGUUGGAUCAUCAGAGAAGGAAGCGCCGCGAUCGACGGGACCCAUAUGCCAGUUGUAGUGCCAGCUAACAAGGUGGGCCAAUAUGUGGGUCGUCAUGGAUACUCAUCUCAGAAUGUGCUUGCUAUAUGCGACUUUGACAUGAGGUUUACAUUUGCUGUCGCGGG